CGGUUGAUCCUGCCGGAGGUUGCUGCUAUCAGGAUACGAUUAAGCCAUGCAAGUCUUGCUUACUUUGGUAAGCGGCGACAUGCUCAGUAACACGUCGAUAAUCUGCCUUUAGGUCUGGAAUAACCUUGGUAAACUGAGGGUAAUGCCGGAUAUAGGAGCUACACUGGAAUAGUUUUUUCCUUGAAAGCUUCGGUGCCUAAAGAUGAGUUGGCGGUGGAUUAGGUUGUUGGUGGGGUAAUGGCCCACCAAGCCGAAGAUCCAUAGGGGCCUUGAGAGAGGUAGCCCCGAGAAGGACACUGAAAUACUGGUCCUAGCCCCACGGGGUGCAGCAGGCGCGAAACCUUUACAAUGCACGAAAGUGUGAUAGGGGAAUCCUGAGUGCUCAUGUUUUCAUGGGCUUUUGCCAAGAGCAAACAUCUUGGCGAAUAAGUGGUGGGUAAGACGGGUGCCAGCAGCCGCGGUAACACCUGCGCCAUGAGUGGGAGCCAUUAUUAUUGGGUCUAAAGCGUCCGUAGCCGGUUUGAUAAGUUUUCUGUGAAAUUGUCUAGCUUAACUAGACAGCGUGCAGAAAAUACCGUCAGACUUGAGACCAGGAAGGGCCAAGAGUAUUCUGGGGGGAGCGGUAAAAUGCUAUAAUCCCCGGAGGACUACCAAUGGCGAAGGCACUUGGCCGGAAUGGAUCUGACGGUGAGGGACGAAAGCUAGGGGANCGAUCCGGAUUAGAUACCCGAGUAGUCCUAGCUGUAAACGCUGUGAGCCAGGUGUU
RNAcentral lists this ribosomal RNA (766 nucleotides) under uncultured archaeon. RNAcentral's name for it is "bacterial SSU rRNA". It matches the Rfam family "Archaeal small subunit ribosomal RNA", at positions 5 to 775 of the family's 1478-position model. The record is from RNAcentral.